RNAcentral lists this ribosomal RNA (406 nucleotides) under uncultured bacterium. RNAcentral describes it as "partial 16S ribosomal RNA". It matches the Rfam family "Bacterial small subunit ribosomal RNA", at positions 30 to 526 of the family's 1533-position model. The record is from RNAcentral.
AUUGAACGCUGGCGGCAGGCUUAACACAUGCAAGUCGAGCGAGCGGCGGACGGGUGAGUAAUGUAUGGGGAACUGCCCGAAGGAGGGGGAUAACUACUGGAAACGGUGGCUAAUACCGCAUACUAUCGGAUGAACCCAUAUGGGAUGAGCUAGUAGGGUGGGUAAUGGCUAACUUAGGCGACGCUCUCUAGCGGGUCUGAGAGGAUGAUCAGCCACACUGGGACUGAGACACGGCCCAGUCUCCUACGGGAGGCAGCAGUGGGGAAUAUUGCACAAUGGGCGCAAGCCUGAUGCAUCGAUGCCGCGUGUAUGAAGAAGGCCUUAGGGUUGUAAAGUACUUUCAGCGUGGAGGCGUUACUCGCAGAAGAAGCACCGGCGAACUCCGUGCCAGCAGCCGCGAUAAUUC